RNAcentral lists this ribosomal RNA (401 nucleotides) under Arthrobacter sp. RNAcentral describes it as "bacterial SSU rRNA". It matches the Rfam family "Bacterial small subunit ribosomal RNA", at positions 45 to 452 of the family's 1533-position model. The record is from RNAcentral. Lineage: Bacteria; Bacillati; Actinomycetota; Actinomycetes; Micrococcales; Micrococcaceae.
UGCUACCAUGCAGUCGACGAUGAACCCAGCUUGCUGGGUGGAUUAGUGGCGAACGGGUGAGUAACACGUGAGUAACCUGCCCCUGACUUUGGGAUAAACCCGGGAAACUGGGUCUAAUACCGGAUAUGACUAUGGAACGCAUGUUUUGUGGUUGAAAGAUUUAUCGGUGAGGGAUGGACUCGCGGCCUAUCACCUUGUUGGUGAGGUAAUGGCUCACCAAGGCGACCACGGGUAGCCGGCCUGAAAGGGUGACCGGCCACACUGGGACUGAAACACGGCCCAAACUCCUACGGGAGGCAGCAUUGGGGAAUAUUGCACAAUGGGCGGAAGCCUGAUGCAGCGACGCCCCGUGAGGGAUGACGGCCUUCGGGUUGUAAACCUCUUUCAAUAGGGAAUAAGCG